RNAcentral lists this ribosomal RNA (468 nucleotides) under uncultured bacterium. RNAcentral's name for it is "partial 16S ribosomal RNA". It matches the Rfam family "Bacterial small subunit ribosomal RNA", at positions 28 to 507 of the family's 1533-position model. The record is from RNAcentral.
GACGAACGCUGGCGGCGUGCUUAACACAUGCAAGUCGAACGGAAAGGCCCUGCUUUUGUGGGGUGCUGGAGUGGCGAAAGUGUGUGUAAUACUUGAGUAACCUGCCCCUGCCUUUGGGAUAACCUCAGGCAACUUGGGUUAAUACCGGAUAGGAGCUCUCGCUGCUUGGUGGGGGCUGGAAAGUUUCGGCGGUUGGGGAUGGACUCGCGGCUUAUCAGCUUGUUGGUGGGGUAGUGGCCCACCAAGGCUUUGAAGGGUAGCCGGCCUGUGAGGGUGACCGGCCACAUUGCAACUGGGAUACGGCCCAGCCUCCUACCAGAGGCGACAGGGGGGAAUUUUACAGCAUGGGCCGAAGCCUGGUGCGGGAACGCGACGUGCGGGGUGGCGGCCUUCGGGUUGUAAAGCGCUUGCGCCUGUGGCGAGGCGUGAGUGACGGUACUGGGUAAAGAAGCGCCGGCUAACUACGUG